GGGGAGGGACUCAGACUUACACAUCCUCUUUGUACCUUGUUUGCUGCUGGGAUUAGAAUUUAGGGGAGUGAAGUUCAGGGACUAAUCUAAGGCCUCCCAGCCAAAGGUCAUCUAGCCACAGCCCAAACAAAGGGGCUUCUGACAUGGUCCUAGGUGGUACUGAGACCAAGCCUGCAGAGACUGGACCCUGUGAGAGAGGCAAGGCAAGGCCCCAGGGCACUGCAGGCUGUUCAGGUGAGGGCAUCUCAUGCCACCGUGGAACCAGGAGCUCCCAAUGUCCCCGUUCUGUUAGCAGUGUCUGAUUGUUGAGUGUCUAAUUGCUCACUUCUCCAAAGCCAGCUCUGGCUCAGAACCCUGGGUGCUGAGACACUGCCUUUGGUGAGCAUGAGCUGCUCAGGAGCUUUAGAGGGACUCCUGCUGAACUGGGGGGCCUCUCUCUGCAAUGCCUUCUGCCCUGUCUGCCUGCCUGACUCCCACAUGUAUCUCUAUGGGCUAGUAGCCUGGUCGAGUGAGGCUCCCCUCUGUGCCUGUCCAGCUUGGCACCAGCUAAUGAUUGUGUCCAGGAGCUCUGGACCUACCUCUUUCUAGACCAAGGAGUCCUCAAAGGCAGGGCCUGCUGGGAGCCUCCCUGUGACCCCUGCAGUACCAGCACAGGCAUUCGUGCCAUGAGUUGACUAGAACUGAAGAGAAGGGAGAAGCUUCCUGGGGGUGAGCAAGAGGAGGCCUGAGAGCCCAGGAAUAAUGGGAAAAUAGUAAUGGCCCAGGGCUAAAGGAAUCCUCCAGAAUCCGAGUUCUGUGGAUCCAGGUUGGCCUGGGACUGCCUGAGGAUGGGGCAGGCCCUGCCCAGAGGUCUCUUGGAGCCAGCCUCCAGCACCUCCUCAGCCUGACCUUCCUCCUUCAGUGUUUAGACCUGAGAGAGCAGGCUACGGGUCACGUAGGUCAGCCCUGGAUUGCUUACACAAGUGGGCCAAGACUCCAAGACGGGUUGAGAUUUGGCCAAGGUCUUUGAAGAAGGAAUGCCCAUUCUUGAAAGAAGAGCUAUUACAACUUCUGUCUCCUUCUAGAGUCUUCUUUCCAGCUCUUCCUAGAAAAGCAUGGCCCUCUUAGUCAUUCUCAGGCUCCUGUGCUGAGAACAGGAGUGAGGAAGGGAAGCUCACAAGAAUGAAGCACCCACUGGCCACUGGAGAUCAGAUGGGCACUAUUAUAUAUGUUGGAUAGUAUUCCUCCAAAAAAUAUGUUGAAGUCCCAACACCCAGUGCCUGUGAAUGUGACCUUAUUGGGAAUGAGAAUCUUUGUAGAUAUAAUCAAGUUAAUAUGAGAUCAUUAGAGUGGGCACUAAUCCAACAUGAUGGUGUCCUCAUAAGGAGAGACAGAGACACAGACACAUGUGGGAAGACAGUCACGUGGAGAUGGAGGCAGAGACUGGAGUGAUGCAGCCACAAGCCAAGAACACCUGGGGCUACCAGAAGCUGGAGGAGACAAGGAUCCUCCUCUAGAGGCUCCUGAAGGAGCAUGGCCCUAAUGAUACCUUAUUCUUAGACUACCGGCCCCAGAACUGGGAGAUAAUUCAUUUCUGUUGUUUCCAGCCCCCCAAUUUGUGGUACUUUGUUCCAGCUACCCUAGCAAACUCAUACAGACACUUUCACAAAUGUCUCACAACAGCCUCGCAGCCAGGCAGAGGUGGCAGCAUCAGCCCCGUCUUCUCAUUCUAAUGUCAGCUUCUUGCAUUACCUCUCCAGGCUUGCCACCACCCCAACUGUGAAUAAACAGUGCUCCUCAUCUUCAAAGCCCUUUGGAAAUACUAAUUAACUCUCGGCUAAUUAGAUGAAAGAACGUGAAGCUCUAAUGACAUCAUCUCCAUUCUGUGCCCAGAUCUAGCCACAGGCGAAAUCUGGGACUGCUGGGCUAUAAGCCUUGUCUUGUGGAAACAUGUUGUGCCCACGAAACAUGGCCGGGGAUGGCUUUCCACUCACUUUAGCUCCAUGGGCUUCAGAAAACAGCCAGCUGUGGGCAUACUUGGCCAAUCAAGCAUGCAUAACACAAACGGUUUCUGUGAUUAAGAGUUUGUGUGGGUGUGUGUGCGCGUGUGUGUGAAUCACAUACCUUUGCACUCUGCACAUCACCGAGAUUGUCUUAUUGGCCGUUCUAAACAGAAGCUUACAAAAACAUGUGUACUUUCAAAUAUUCCUCAGAAUGCCACCCUGUGAUCCUGAGGGCCUGUGUACCCCCUGCCUUGUAGAACCAAGAAGAAUCCCUCUGCGUCCAGGGCCCCAGGGGGUGAGCAUCAGUUUUUCUGGGCAAGUAGCUGCGUGCGAGGCCUGGAGGCAGGAGUCUGCAAGUCAGAGGCCGUCUGAGCCAGGAGCCAGAGCUGAGAGAGAUUCUGACCAAGGCCAGAGGGCGUGAGGAGGAGGCGCAGGGCUGGGGCUGUCCCCACCACAGCAGGGUCUUUGGUGGACAGACAGUAGGCAUGCUGCAGUGGACAGAAGCAGGAGACGAGGGUUAGAAUCCUGCCUUUGACUGUGCCACUCAUUCACCUGGACGACAGUGACAGGCCCAUUCCAGGUCUCCCUGACUCCAUGCGGUCUCUCCAUCCUCUACCCUAUGGCCAGAAGCACCAUCCAUGCACCAGGCAGAUCUGCUCCUGGCACUGAACACUAAAAUCCUCACCCGUGUGUCCCAGGGGAUGGACUUGAACAUGACGGGUACUACAAUGACCGUCUUUGUUCAAUAACAAAGAAAGAAAGAAAGGCCAUUCCUGCUCAGUUAUCUUUCAAUCCUUCAGAUCCUGAAAAAAAAA
Macaca fascicularis (crab-eating macaque) is the source of this 2797-nucleotide long non-coding RNA. The record is from Ensembl. Lineage: Eukaryota; Metazoa; Chordata; Mammalia; Primates; Cercopithecidae.